GACGAACGCUGGCGGCGUGCUUAACACAUGCAAGUCGAACGGAAAGGCCCUGCUUGCAGGGUACUCGAGUGGCGAACGGGUGAGUAACACGUGGGUGAUCUGCCCUGCACUUCGGGAUAAGCCUGGGAAACUGGGUCUAAUACCGGAUAUGACCUUCCAUGUAGUGUGGGGGGUGGAAAGAUUUAUCGGUGUGGGAUGAGCCCGCGGCCUAUCAGCUUGUUGGUGGGGUAAUGGCCUACCAAGGCGUCGACGGGUAGCCGGCCUGAGAGGGUGGACGGCCACAUUGGGACUGAGAUACGGCCCAGACUCCUACGGGAGGCAGCAGUGGGGAAUAUUGCACAAUGGGUGGAAGCCUUAUGCAGCGACGCCGCGUGGGGGAUGACGGCCUUCGGGUUGUAAACCUCUUUCGACAGGGACGAAGCUUCGGUGACGGUACCUGUAGAAGAAGCACCGGCUAACUACGUG
RNAcentral lists this ribosomal RNA (465 nucleotides) under uncultured bacterium. RNAcentral's name for it is "partial 16S ribosomal RNA". It matches the Rfam family "Bacterial small subunit ribosomal RNA", at positions 28 to 507 of the family's 1533-position model. The record is from RNAcentral.